GGAGUUGUAGCUCAGGGGUAAAGUGCUUGUCUAACACAUGUGAGGCCCUGGGUUCAAUCCCCGGUACUACCA
This 72-nucleotide transfer RNA is filed under the name Heterocephalus glaber (naked mole-rat). It matches the Rfam family "tRNA". Rfam says of the family: Transfer RNA (tRNA) molecules are approximately 80 nucleotides in length. The record is from Rfam by way of RNAcentral. Lineage: Eukaryota; Metazoa; Chordata; Mammalia; Rodentia; Bathyergidae.